Long non-coding RNA from Zalophus californianus (California sea lion), 1624 nucleotides. RefSeq lists it as uncharacterized. The record is from RefSeq and is a predicted model, not a curated record. The transcript is spliced from 3 exons. Lineage: Eukaryota; Metazoa; Chordata; Mammalia; Carnivora; Otariidae.
GCCGGGCCAGAGCCCCGCCCCGGCCCUACCCUCCCUGGGGAGGCUCCUCGCUGACCCCCGGGACGGUGCCCGCCCGUUUUUACGCACCCACUGGGCGCGAGAAUGGGAGACCCACCCGCUUCCCAGCCCCGGGCACGCAUUCUCAAGAGGCAGCCGCGGGGUCGUGCCAAGCGGGCAGGUACGAUCAUGCUCCCUAUCCCCGAGGUAUUUGAGCGGCCUCAACAAAGGCGACAUGGGAAGCCCCUCCCGUCGGGGUAGCCGUCACAAUCUCGGCAGGCGACGCGAGGACCUCCGAGGGAAGGGGCGAACGCAGGGGGACUCUGGUGUUUUCACUGGAACUUCCCACCCUCACUUGCAGACCCCCUAUUACAGCUGCUUUGCUCUGACUGCGGGAGCAGGUCAUCGCGGGGCGACUUCCCAAGGUUCUGUCCCGCUAAGGGAUCUGCUAAAGUGCCUGUGUGUAAUGAGAAGGCAGGGAUGAGCCGCAGAGCUCGGGGGAGGACUCAGCCUUUUCAAGUGUGUGGAACCCGAAAGGUUGGAGCAACUAGAAAUUGAGCGUCCAGGAGUGGAAGCCGAAGAACGGGAAUUACCCCCGGCUACUGGCUAUCUGUUUUGCCACUUGAACCUUUCAGUUGCUCAGCAUCUCACCCAGACCCCCCAAUAAGUGACUUUUUUAUGGACGGUUGCUGUUAAUAAACUUUGGCCUGGAAUCGGAGACUAAACCGAAGUCUUCUCGCACCCAAAUCCACUAGAGGGCAGGGCUACACCUGAGUUCGACCGCAUUCACCACAAAGAACUGUAAAGACCGCAGGAGUUCCUCCCUUGUGUGCUAGAGGUCAGGACCUUUGGAACAAUGUGUCUUUGACCAGAUGUAUCAACCUUAAGCAGCCUGGUUAGAUGAAAGAAGUGGGGAAAACUUCAUUUGUUGGCAGCAGUGGGAUUCAAAGGAAAUUCCUGAUGGAUUCUGGGACAACAACAAGAAACACAGUUCUUUCUUACCAUUUCUGAAGGCCGUGGAUAAAUUCCUCUGCAUUCUGAUCCCUGUCAUCUUUGUUUGUUUGUUUUUAAUUGUAUUUAUUUAUUUGAGAAAGAGCAUGAGCUGUUGUUGUGGGGAGCAGGGGCAGUGGGGGAGGGAGAGGGAUAAGCAGCCUCCCCACUUAGUGAGGAGCACGACUCAGGCCUGAGCCACCCAGCUACCCCAGUGAGUUCUGCUGUCUUUGUAUUGAGCUUCUUAUCUAAUUGUCUUUCUGUUCCAGGUCAACAGGUCAGUUUAGACAGACAAAAGGCUCUAAAAGAAUGCCAGUUCUUAGCUCUUGGUUCAGUCCACAAUUCCCAGUCCAGGGCUUGGCAAGUCAGUUUGAGAUGGCAGAAUGCUCUGCCUAGAACCCAAGUCUUUAACCCUAUUUGUUCACAGUUCCUCAUUCGAUCGGAAUCCCAGUCCACAGUUCCCAUUUGUUGGGGUAUGCAGGUUCAGUCCUUUCCCCAGUCCCCAGUUCCAUGUUGGGAAUUGCUGGUGGUACAUACAAGGCCUUUUAUUGGCCGGUCCACAAUAAUAUCUCUUUGGAGAUGAAGAAGGACACUAUAUCCUACUUAAAGGGUCUAUCCAACAAGAAGAUCUAACAAU